RNAcentral lists this transfer RNA (72 nucleotides) under Camelus bactrianus (Bactrian camel). It matches the Rfam family "tRNA". From Rfam's summary of the family: Transfer RNA (tRNA) molecules are approximately 80 nucleotides in length. Their secondary structure includes four short double-helical elements and three loops (D, anti-codon, and T loops). The record is from Rfam by way of RNAcentral. RNAcentral also lists the same sequence under 2 other names. Lineage: Eukaryota; Metazoa; Chordata; Mammalia; Artiodactyla; Camelidae.
GUCGGUAUAGCUUGGUGGUAGAGUGCAUGCUUAGCAUGCACAAGGUCCUGGGUUCAAUUCCCAGUACCUCCA